Molecule: small RNA, 230 nt
Filed under: Drosophila yakuba
Lineage: Eukaryota; Metazoa; Arthropoda; Insecta; Diptera; Drosophilidae
Description: GE28784
Source: RNAcentral
GUAAAUCAAGUACAUAUAACAUGUAUAGUAGCACUUUAAUAAUGUUUGGGAUAUUAAGUGUUGCGAGCCCUAUUCUGAUACCUCCAUUCUGUGACCUUUUAGUGGUAGAUGCACCUUUAAAAUGCUAUAAUGCCACAGAUUGUAAAUCUUAUAGGGAGUGCCUACAUCCUAAAUAAAAUAUUAACAUAUAUAUAUAUUAUAUCGAUGUGCUCCCAAAUAAAAUGCGUUUG